GAUGAACGCUAGCUACAGGCUUAACACAUGCAAGUCGAGGGGCAGCAUGGUCUUAGCUUGCUAAGGCCGAUGGCGACCGGCGCACGGGUGAGUAACACGUAUCCAACCUGCCGUCUACUCUUGGACAGCCUUCUGAAAGGAAGAUUAAUACAAGAUGGCAUCAUGAGUCCGCAUGUUCACAUGAUUAAAGGUAUUCCGGUAGACGAUGGGGAUGCGUUCCAUUAGAUAGUAGGCGGGGUAACGGCCCACCUAGUCUUCGAUGGAUAGGGGUUCUGAGAGGAAGGUCCCCCACAUUGGAACUGAGACACGGUCCAAACUCCUACGGGAGGCAGCAGUGAGGAAUAUUGGUCAAUGGGCGAGAGCCUGAACCAGCCAAGUAGCGUGAAGGAUGACUGCCCUAUGGGUUGUAAACUUCUUUUAUAAAGGAAUAAAGUCGGGUAUGCAUACCCGUUUGCAUGUACUUUAUGAAUAAGGAUCGGCUAACUCCGUG
This 490-nucleotide ribosomal RNA is filed under the name uncultured bacterium. Its description in RNAcentral is "bacterial SSU rRNA". It matches the Rfam family "Bacterial small subunit ribosomal RNA", at positions 28 to 507 of the family's 1533-position model. The record is from RNAcentral.